AUGCUUUUAUGACUGAAGUGAUGGCACAGCAGGUAGGGCGUUUGCUUUCAUGUGGCUGACCCAGGUUUGAUUCCUCCAUCCCUCUCGGAGAGCUA
This 95-nucleotide small nucleolar RNA is filed under the name Sorex araneus (European shrew). Its description in RNAcentral is "Z30 small nucleolar RNA (ENSSARG00000019438.1)". The record is from RNAcentral. Lineage: Eukaryota; Metazoa; Chordata; Mammalia; Eulipotyphla; Soricidae.